CCUACGGGAGGCAGCAGUGGGGAAUUUUGGACAAUGGGCGCAAGCCUGAUCCAGCCAUGCCGCGUGUGGGAAGAAGGCCUUCGGGUUGUAAACCACUUUUGUCAGGGAAGAAACGGCCUUUACUAAUAUUAGGGGCUAAUGACGGUACCUGAAGAAUAAGCACCGGCUAACUACGUGCCAGCAGCCGCGGUAAUACGUAGGGUGCAAGCGUUAAUCGGAAUUACUGGGCGUAAAGCGUGCGCAGGCGGCUUUGCAAGACAGAUGUGAAAUCCCCGGGCUCAACCUGGGAACUGCAUUUGUGACUGCAUGGCUAGAGUACGGUAGAGGGGGAUGGAAUUCCGCGUGUAGCAGUGAAAUGCGUAGAUAUGCGGAGGAACACCGAUGGCGAAGGCAAUCCCCUGGACCUGUACUGACGCUCAUGCACGAAAGCGUGGGGAGCAAACAGGAUUAGAUACCCUGGUAGUCCACGCCCUAAACGAUGUCAACUGGUUGUUGGACGGCUUGCUGUUCAGUAACGAAGCUAACGCGUGAAGUUGACCGCCUGGGGAGUACGGCCGCAGGUUGAAACUCAAAGGAUUGACGGNNGAGAGNGCGAGACGACGACGAGGGAGGAGG
This 615-nucleotide ribosomal RNA is filed under the name uncultured bacterium. Its description in RNAcentral is "bacterial SSU rRNA". It matches the Rfam family "Bacterial small subunit ribosomal RNA", at positions 338 to 948 of the family's 1533-position model. The record is from RNAcentral.